AUUGAGUCAAUUACUGUAUCUACUCAAUUAUCUCCAAGCUGAAAAGUUACUUUUUGUACAUUUUUAUAACUCUGUGAGUUAACAUCGCACAUACAUAAAACUUAAAUUAUUUUAACCAGUAUAACUUGGGGACAAACAUAUCCAAAAUUCACUUGAAUAGGUUCAGGGGUUUAACGGUUAGGUCGAAGUCCUUUGUUUUUACUUGCAAGCAUGAUUUUUCCUGGCAAACCAGUUCCCACUGGUUUGGCAGUGUCCCUGGGACAACACCCUGCUGGAGAACAAUGUAUCCGGGGGAGGGGAAGAAGAAGUGUCCAAAAAGUUUCAGUAAGUCCAUUCACUGUGCUUAAAGAGCCAGUAGCCGCACAAUAAAAUACAAUAUGCCCAAAUAUUGCAUUCAAAAGUACAACUUUACCAGGGGCCAUAGUCAGCAGGAAGGAGGCGGGCAGCCAGGCCUCUCCAAUGCCAGGUGGCGAGGCGGGUUCCGCCACAGUGACCACUAAGCAGAUGUCUAAAAUUAAUUCCUCCAAAAUCCCCAAGGUAAACAGUGCCGCACCCUGAGGUAAUAGUGACUGAUAGCAUGCAUCCCCAAGACUUUUUUUUUGGCAUGCUCAUUUUUUUGUGAUCACUUUUUGAUCACAGGGGGAGGUUGAAAGA
Non-coding RNA from Pelobates cultripes (western spadefoot toad), 654 nucleotides. The record is from the annotation of a GenBank genome assembly. NCBI's taxonomy places the organism in Eukaryota, Metazoa, Chordata, Amphibia, Anura, Pelobatidae.